RNAcentral lists this ribosomal RNA (668 nucleotides) under Nematoda environmental sample. RNAcentral describes it as "LSU rRNA". It matches the Rfam family "Eukaryotic large subunit ribosomal RNA", at positions 646 to 1283 of the family's 3401-position model. Lineage: Eukaryota; Metazoa; Nematoda. The record is from RNAcentral.
GACCCGUCUUGAAACACGGACCAAGGAGUCUAACAUAUGCGCGAGCUAAUGGGUGGAAAACCCAUAGGCGAAAUAAAAGUAAAGGCUGUUUCGGACAGCUAAGGUACGAUCCUAGUAUCCGAGCGAUAUUAGGCGCAGUACCGUCCCGUCCCGACUGCAUGUCGGUAGGGCGGAGAUAGAGUGCAUACGUUGGGACCCGAAAGAUGGUGAACUAUGCCUGAGCAGAGCGAAGCCAGAGGAAACUCUGGUGGAGGUUCGUAGCGGUUCUGACGUGCAAAUCGAUCGUCAGACUUGGGUAUAGGGGCGAAAGACUAAUCGAACCAUCUAGUAGCUGGUUCCCCCUGAAGUUUCCCUCAGGAUAGCUGAUACUCGUUAAGAACGAAGUUUUAUCCGGUAAAGCGAAUGAUUAGAGGCAUUGGGGACGAAAUGUUCUCAACCUAUUCUCAAACUUUAAAUGGGUAAGAAGUCGAGCUUGCUCGAUCGAAGCCCGACAUAAGAAUUCGAGUAUCAAGUGGGCCAUUUUUGGUAAGCAGAACUGGCGCUGCGGGAUGAACCGAACGGCGAGAUAAGGCGCCCGAAUAAACGCUCAUAAGAGCCCAGGAAAGGUGUUAGUUGAUAUAGACAGCAGGACGGUGGCCAUGGAAGUUGGAACCCGCUAAGGAGUGUGU